ACGUUAAUCGGGGCAGGGUGAGUCGACCCCUAAGGCGAGGCCGAAAGGCGUAGUCGAUGGGAAACAGGUUAAUAUUCCUGUACUUGGUGUUACUGCGAAGGGGGGACGGAGAAGGCUAUGUUAGCCGGGCGACGGUUGUCCCGGUUUAAGCAUGUAGGCUGAUUGUCCAGGCAAAUCCGGAUAAUCAAGGCUGAGGUGUGAUGACGAGGCACUACGGUGCUGAAGUAACAAAUGCCCUGCUUCCAGGAAAAGCCUCUAAGCAUCAGGUAACAUUAAAUCGUACCCCAAACCGACACAGGUGGUCAGGUAGAGAAUACCAAGGCGCUUGAGAGAACUCGGGUGAAGGAACUAGGCAAAAUGGUGCCGUAACUUCGGGAGAAGGCACGCUGGUGUGUAGGUGAAGUCCCUGCGGAUGGAGCUGAGACCAGUCGAAGAUACCAGCUGGCUGCAACUGUUUAUUAAAAACACAGCACUGUGCAAACACGAAAGUGGACGUAUACGGUGUGACGCCUGCCCGGUGCCGGAAGGUUAAUUGAUGGGGUUAUCCGUAAGGAGAAGCUCUUGAUCGAAGCCCCGG
Molecule: ribosomal RNA, 577 nt
Filed under: Klebsiella pneumoniae subsp. pneumoniae
Lineage: Bacteria; Pseudomonadati; Pseudomonadota; Gammaproteobacteria; Enterobacterales; Enterobacteriaceae
Description: bacterial LSU rRNA
Rfam family: Bacterial large subunit ribosomal RNA
Source: RNAcentral